Molecule: ribosomal RNA, 636 nt
Filed under: uncultured bacterium
Lineage: Bacteria
Description: bacterial SSU rRNA
Rfam family: Bacterial small subunit ribosomal RNA
Source: RNAcentral
AGAGUUUGAUCCUGGCUCAGAAUCAACGCUGGCGGCGUGCUUAACACAUGCAAGUCGAACGGUAAGGCCCUUCGGGGUACACGAGUGGCGAACGGGUGAGUAACACGUGGGUGAUCUGCCCCAAACUUCGGGAUAAGCCUGGGAAACUGGGUCUAAUACCGGAUAUGACCUGAGAAUGCAUGUUCUUGGGUGGAAAGAUUUAUCGGUUUGGGAUGGGCCCGCGGCCUAUCAGCUUGUUGGUGGGGUAAUGGCCUACCAAGGCGACGACGGGUAGCCGGCCUGAGAGGGCGACCGGCCACACUGGGACUGAGACACGGCCCAGACUCCUACGGGAGGCAGCAGUGGGGAAUAUUGCACAAUGGGCGCAAGCCUGAUGCAGCGACGCCGCGUGGAGGAUGACGGCCUUCGGGUUGUAAACUCCUUUCGCUAGGGACGAAGCGCAAGUGACGGUACCUAGAGAAGAAGCACCGGCCAACUACGUGCCAGCAGCCGCGGUAAUACGUAGGGUGCGAGCGUUGUCCGGAAUUNCUGGGCGUAAAGAGCUUGUAGGCGGUUUGUCGCGUCGUCCGUGAAAACCAGUGGCUUAACCAUUGGCUUGCGGNCGAUACGGGCAGACUUGAGUAUUUCAGGGGAGAC